UAAGUUCAAGGACGAUUGUCAAAAUUUAUCCCGAUAGUGAGCCCUUACUAGUAUGAAGCAAAAGCCCAAAACCACAGUAACCAAAAGCUAGGAAUUCAGAUACUAACAACAGCAGGUGCAAAAAUGAAUUCAGAUUGUCUAUUGAAAUCCUGCUACACCAGUGAGAUUGCUGCUGAAAUGCAUAUGCGAGGAUAGAGGCGAAAGAUGACAAGGCGAAGGAGGAGAACCAUGAAUCCAGCACUUGAGAUCACAAAAACUUUACUAGCCCAGAGUGGAGCAUCUCCUACAAACCUAGACUGAUCUGCUUGAAAUUAGAAUGAACACUCCCAUCAAAAGAGAAUACAAAACAGAAUAAG
Molecule: unclassified non-coding RNA, 356 nt
Filed under: Hevea brasiliensis (rubber tree)
Lineage: Eukaryota; Viridiplantae; Streptophyta; Magnoliopsida; Malpighiales; Euphorbiaceae
Source: RNAcentral